This is a non-coding RNA of Paramisgurnus dabryanus, 2922 nucleotides long. Lineage: Eukaryota; Metazoa; Chordata; Actinopteri; Cypriniformes; Cobitidae. The record is from RefSeq and is a predicted model, not a curated record.
AAACAUUUGCGGUGAGGAUGUGUUCAUGACGUCAACGCAGCACAUCGCGUGACGUCACGUUCCGGUAAAUCGCCGUGUUUUGUCGCGCUCCGAUUGGAUCGCGCUCUCCGUGCCAAAAACGGUACGCUUUCGGUGUAAUGACACCAUUAAAGGACGCUGAUCCGUUCACAUCCCGCUUAAUGGCAAGCAGCUGAUAUCUGGUGGACACCGAAGCCUGUUUUUACCAAUGUAAAUUAUGAAAAAUCGGGAGUAUCAGCAAAUAGAUCCACAGGCACUCGCGACACCCACGCCGACGCCUCCAACGCGACCUCUUCCCGAGCACAGGAGCAAACGAGCUCGGAGAAAAUGGGAGGUGUUUCCCGGGAAAAACCGCUUUUGUUGUGAUGGACGCAUCAUUGUGGCGCGUCAGAGCGGCGUGUUGCCUCUCACGCUCGGGCUUAUCCUGCUCACCAGUGGACUGUUUUUCAUAUUCGACUGCCCAUUCCUGGUGAAACAUCUCACCCGCUUCAUCCCAGCAAUUGGAGGGGUCCUAUUUGUUUUUGUGAUCAUCUCUCUUCUUCAGACAAGCUUCACAGACCCUGGGAUUCUGCCCAGAGCAACUCCAGAAGAGGCUGCAGACAUUGAGAAACAGAUUGACAAGCCGACUAGCUCUUCCUCAUCUUACCGCCCCCCUCCGCGCACCAAAGAGGUCGUCAUCAACCAGCAGGUGGUUAAACUGAAGUACUGCUUUACCUGUAAGAUUUUCCGCCCUCCUCGCACCUCCCACUGUAGCCUGUGUGAUAACUGUGUGGAGCGGUUUGAUCAUCACUGCCCCUGGGUUGGGAACUGUGUGGGAAAACGCAACUAUCGCUUUUUCUACACCUUCAUCGUGUCGCUGUCUCUUCUCACAGCCUUCAUCUUUGGUUGUGUAACCACACACCUGGCUCUGAGGUCACAAGGAGGAAAUGGGCUGGUCAUCGCCAUUCAAGAAAGUCCUGCCAGUGCUCUUGAAUUAGUGGUCUGCUUUUUUUCUGUGUGGUCCAUUUUGGGCCUCUCGGGCUUCCAUACAUACCUUGUAGCUGCAAAUCUUACCACCAAUGAGGAUAUUAAAGGUUCCUGGUCAGCAAAAAGUGGAAAUGAAGAUGUUGGAAAUCCUUACAGCUAUAACAAUAUCAUCAAAAACUGCUGUGCUGUCCUCUGUGGACCCAUGCCGCCCAGUUUGAUUGACAGGCGAGGGUUUGUGCCCUCUGAUGACUCCGUUCAGACCAGCCCUGUAGAAACUCAACCUCCAGCAGCUAAAAACGACAUAAACAUGGUAGGACGAGCCAUCACCUCAGGCCGACCUUCACCACCACCACCAACUCCACCCCCUGGCCUAACCCCACAGCAACCUGACAUCAUCUCCAUUCAAAACCACUCAACAGCCUGACUCUCUGUGUCUCAUUCAAACCAAGUAUUAUCUGUUGUUUAAUGUGCUUUGGGGGACGUCCCUGUCAAACAGCAUUGGGUUUGUGGGCUGCAUCCAAGCGCGUUUGUCUCAGAUGUGUUUAGUAGAGUUGUUAGGACUGUGCUGUUUUGCUCACUUAUCUUGAUAAGGUUUAUGUGGUGUACUUGAAAGAGAGAUGCAUGCAUUCUAAGGUGCCAUAUAGAAGCCUUCCUUAUAUGGGUUAGGGUGUAGAUAGUUUACAGAAAUUGGGCAUCGCUGCUGCAUUUCAUGUUGCAGAAAUGUAAGGUGUUUUUGCAAAGAAAGAGGAAGUGAAAUGUCUGGCUUCCUGUAGCAUUAGGUGCAGGUACUAAACUGGAAAGGCACUGUUUGUGUCAGAUGGGUGUGUUUGUUUCUGAAGAGGUUUAUGUAUAGAUUUGCUGGCUCUGUUUGUCUCUGGAGACCUCUACUUCUUCUGAAAGGUUAUGAUAAGUAAUGCAUCAUGUUUGUUUAUUUAAGUUGUUUGUUAAUGCAUUACAAGUUAUUUUUAAUAUUUUUUUUUUGUGCUGUUUUCAAACAAAUCUUAAUUUGUGUUUUAUAAAAAGUUUUCUUAUACUCAGAUAUAGUCACAAACCGAAAGUGCCUCUUACCACAUCUGUAAUCAAGCAAACAGAUUUUGUGUGUUUUUCUCCGGGUUUAAUUCCCUUCAUAGAGACAGUAACUUGAUCAUGAAAAGAAAUAUUCUUCUAAUAGCUAUGUAAAAAAUUAAUCUGGUGCUCAUUGGCUUACAUAUUGGUGCUAAUUCAUCUCAGGGUGUAAUGCAAUGGCAUUGUUUACUGUUAAGGUUAUAGGGGAACAGUGUAGGAAUACAAACACAUGCCUUGUGGUUGUGUAUCUCUGCUUGUAUGUGUGUAGUGGUUUGCCGGUGAAAACGAUGAUUUCCUUGUGAGAUUUAAUGGAUAGCAGAAUGUGUGUAAAAGGGUCUUAAAUCUUCUUGAUUUUUUUUUAAUGCAGAACAAUCCUGAACAUUUCCCUGAACAUUUUGAAUAUUUGUAACAUAUUUUGCAUUUGUACUGAUGUCAAGAAUGCAUUUUGAUGUCAAAUAAAUGUUUUUCAAACUUAUAUCCCAUAAUUCCUGUGCUGCAUGUAAAUCACUGUCUUGUUUCAGUAUGCAUGAAGCUCAUGUAGAACAAGUACUUUUCAGUCCCUACAUGUUUCCCAGCAUGCAAUACAAAUAAGCAUCUGUGAUUAAGGACACUUGAAGUGCUUCUAGACAUUAACCUUAUCUCUGUGUGUGUGUGUGUGUGUGUGUGCAUGUCUGUUUAGGAAAAAGAUUGCCUGGAUUUUGCCCUGUCUUGUGCCAGUUGAUGGUUCAGUAGGCAAAGCAGGGUUUUAUGGGGAGUGCACAGAGGCUACCAAUGGUCUCGUGGAAAAUGCCUCUCACUCUCCAUUACUCACAAGCUCCUGUCCACAAGCCAAGCCCCAAGCAGUGCCACCUGUACUGGACCCUAUACCAGAGG